CUGUCUGUUGCAGAAAGCCUUUCAAUAUUCUUCUUAGUGUCUCUAAUCCUGUUUAUAUCAACACCUCAAAGCUUUAAAGGGAAUCAGAAAUUAAUUUCCAAGAUUGCCUUAAAAGGAAAAGAAAAACAGAGGAAAUGAUAUCUUACAGACGAACAACAAAUUGAAGCAUCAAUUCUCCAAUCCGAAAGACCAGUUCAUCAGCUCCAAUCUUGAAGAUUGAGAAAAGAGUCUUCUGAAUCAUAUGGAUUCUUAUUAUUUUCUGGAGUCUACAAUCAAGAAAAAUAAAGCUAUUAGGCUGCACAUGAAUCAUAAAAAUGAAGCAUUCCUACAGCAAGUAGGCCAAGAAAGGAAAGGAUAAAGACGAGCAUGAGAUGAUUGAGUGAGAGAUGAGAUAAUUGUCAUGAUCUAAUCCAAUAGAUCAGCAACCUAAUAACUUCCAUAAGACGGAUCUUAAACCAUGUAAUCCAUCUAAUCUUAAAUACUAAUUCAAUCAUCCAUCUAGUCCCCAAAAUAUGUGUGUAUUUACUUGCUAGAUUCAUAGUCUGCACAGCUACUUCCAAGCUCUCACAUGUGUUUCAAGGACUGCACGCUGCCUCCUUGUAACUGAGAUGCUUUGUGGCAGGUGUUGACAUACGCAAUCCUGGCAGCCGGAACGAUGUCGGCCGAGCUAAUGUACUUGGCACACUACGGGGACGUAAAGGUAACGUGGAGCAAAGAGUGCAAUGUCUUCGGCAGCUUCUGCAAGAGGGCGACGAC
This 756-nucleotide long non-coding RNA is filed under the name Musa acuminata (dwarf banana). Its description in RNAcentral is "long non-coding RNA (MACU_LNC002851)". The record is from RNAcentral. Lineage: Eukaryota; Viridiplantae; Streptophyta; Magnoliopsida; Zingiberales; Musaceae.